Molecule: ribosomal RNA, 254 nt
Filed under: uncultured bacterium
Lineage: Bacteria
Description: partial 16S ribosomal RNA
Rfam family: Bacterial small subunit ribosomal RNA
Source: RNAcentral
UACGGGGGGGGCAAGCGUUGUUCGGAAUUACUGGGCGUAAAGGGCUCGUAGGCGGCCAACUAAGUCCGACGUGAAAUCCCCAGGCUUAACCUGGGAACUGCGUCGGAUACUGGAUGGCUUGAAUCCGGGAGAGGGAUGCGGAAUUCCAGGUGUAGCGGUGAAAUGCGUAGAUAUCUGGAGGAACACCGGUGGCGAAGGCGGCAUCCUGGACCAACACUGACGCUGAGUGAGCGAAAGCCAGGGGAGCAAACGGG